Molecule: unclassified non-coding RNA, 835 nt
Filed under: Hevea brasiliensis (rubber tree)
Lineage: Eukaryota; Viridiplantae; Streptophyta; Magnoliopsida; Malpighiales; Euphorbiaceae
Source: RNAcentral
UGGUUGGUAUAGAAGGUACACUGAAAAGAGCAUUUCUUUAAAAUCAGUACAAGAGAAGUUAUGCCUUUAAACAUAGAAAGAUAAUAGCACCAGAAGCAAUACUUCUUCAACAUAACUAGCUAUCAACAGAUGUUCAACGUCAAAGCACAAUCAUUUACUAGGGACAAUCCAAAAAAUAAAACCUGCACUCCAAGAUUCCAGUGUUACUAAUAAUCAUGACAUACAUAUUUAUUUUGGAUACAGCUUAUCAUAUGCAAAAUCUGAAAUACAUCAUGACCAAAGAUUUUUGUCAUAAUAUAGGAAAGACAUUGCAGAUGUCACUUGCGGUUCCAGAUAAUUGAAAUGAUCCAAGUUUCAUUUCAAGGCUCCAAGUUUCAUUUCAAGGCUCCAUUUUUUACGCAGGAAAGAAAAAAAAAAUCAUUUUACAGUGUUUGGGCACUUUAAGAACAUUGACUAGAAAAAGAUGUUUUUUGGGUCAAAGAAUAGAAAGUCAAUUUCUGGGCCUCAUAAAUCAUAAAAAGGAAAGGAACCACAUAGGCAUAUACCCAUUAAAAUACCUACUACUGCCAAUCACUUCCGGCCAUCACUAGCCACUGAUUACUAUCAUCAGUCACCAGCAACAACCACUAUUUAUCUUGUGUAUUUUUUCCUCAUUUAAAAAUUUCAAACUAUAACUGGAAAAUUGUCUUUUGAAGCUCCAUACAUUUUCAAUCUCUUUUAUUGUAAGAAAAUUAAUAUACUCCAAUGUAUUCCAAAUUGAUAUUCAGUAUUGCAUCCAACAAAAGAAACAAGUCAUUCUCUUAGAAAAUGUUUUCCUUGAAAAAAUAUGUUUUAA